CCGCCCGUCACAUCACGAAAUGGGUUGUACUAGAAGUCUGCGCGCUAACCCGCAAGGGAGCAGCGGCCCAAGGUAUGACUCAUGAUUGGGGUG
RNAcentral lists this ribosomal RNA (93 nucleotides) under uncultured bacterium. RNAcentral's name for it is "partial 16S ribosomal RNA". The record is from RNAcentral.